GAUGAAGAACGCAGCGAAAUGCGAUACGUAAUGUGAAUUGCAGAAUUCAGUGAAUCAUCGAAUCUUUGAACGCAUAUUGCGCUCUCUGGUAUUCCGGAGAGCAUGCUUGUUUGAGUAUCAGUAAACACCUCAACUUCCAUAUCUUUUUUGAAAUGGGAGUUGGACUUGAGUGAUCCCAACGCUUUUCCUCACCGAAAAGUGGCGGGUUACUUGAAAUGCAGGUGCAGCUGGACUUUUCUCUGAGCUAUAAGCAUAUCUAUUUAGUCUGCCUAAAAAACAGAUUAUUACCUUUGCUGCAGCUAACAUAAAGGAGAUUAGUUCUUGUGCUGACUGAUGCAGGAUUCACAAAAACGGCUUCGGCCGACUUUGUAAACUCGAUCUCAAAUCAAGUAAGACUACCCGCUGAACUUAAGCAUAUCAAUAAGCGGAGGA
This 432-nucleotide unclassified non-coding RNA is filed under the name soil metagenome. RNAcentral describes it as "partial contains 5.8S ribosomal RNA, internal transcribed spacer 2, and large subunit ribosomal RNA". The stretch from base 1 to 120 matches the Rfam family "5.8S ribosomal RNA", at positions 35 to 154 of the family's 154-position model. The record is from RNAcentral.